RNAcentral lists this ribosomal RNA (1346 nucleotides) under uncultured bacterium. RNAcentral's name for it is "partial 16S ribosomal RNA". It matches the Rfam family "Bacterial small subunit ribosomal RNA", at positions 28 to 1381 of the family's 1533-position model. The record is from RNAcentral.
GACGAACGCUGGCGGCGUGCUUAACACAUGCAAGUCGAACGGAAAGGCCCUGCUUUUGUGGGGUGCUCGAGUGGCGAACGGGUGAGUAACACGUGAGUAACCUGCCCUUGACUUUGGGAUAACUUCAGGAAACUGGGGCUAAUACAGGAUAGGAGCUCCUGCUGCAUGGUGGGGGUUGGAAAGUUUCGGCGGUUGGGGAUGGACUCGCGGCUUAUCAGCUUGUUGGUGGGGUAGUGGCUUACCAAGGCUUUGACGGGUAGCCGGCCUGAGAGGGUGACCGGCCACAUUGGGACUGAGAUACGGCCCAGACUCCUACGGGAGGCAGCAGUGGAGAAUAUUGCACAAUGGGCGGAAGCCUGAUGCAGCAACGCCGCGUGCGGGAUGACGGCCUUCGGGUUGUAAACCGCUUUCGCCUGUGACGAAGCGUGAGUGACGGUAAUGGGUAAAGAAGCACCGGCUAACUACGUGCCAGCAGCCGCGGUGAUACGUAGGGUGCGAGCGUUGUCCGGAUUUAUUGGGCGUAAAGGGCUCGUAGGUGGUUGAUCGCGUCGGAAGUGUAAUCUUGGGGCUUAACCCUGAGCGUGCUUUCGAUACGGGUUGACUUGAGGAAGGUAGGGGAGAAUGGAAUUCCUGGUGGAGCGGUGGAAUGCGCAGAUAUCAGGAGGAACACCAGUGGCGAAGGCGGUUCUCUGGGCCUUUCCUGACGCUGAGGAGCGAAAGCGUGGGGAGCGAACAGGCUUAGAUACCCUGGUAGUCCACGCUGUAAACGGUGGGUACUAGGUGUGGGGUCCAUUCCACGGGUUCCGUGCCGUAGCUAACGCUUUAAGUACCCCGCCUGGGGAGUACGGCCGCAAGGCUAAAACUCAAAGGAAUUGACGGGGCCCCGCACAAGCGGCGGAGCAUGCGGAUUAAUUCGAUGCAACGCGUAGAACCUUACCUGGGUUUGACAUGGAUCGGGAGUGCUCAGAGAUGGGUGUGCCUCUUUUGGGGUCGGUUCACAGGUGGUGCAUGGCUGUCGUCAGCUCGUGUCGUGAGAUGUUGGGUUAAGUCCCGCAACGAGCGCAACCCUUGUUCACUGUUGCCAGCACGUUAUGGUGGGGACUCAGUGGAGACCGCCGGGGUCAACUCGGAGGAAGGUGGGGAUGACGUCAAGUCAUCAUGCCCCUUAUGUCCAGGGCUUCACGCAUGCUACAAUGGCUGGUACAGAGAGUGGCGAGCCUGUGAGGGUGAGCGAAUCUCGGAAAGCCGGUCUCAGUUCGGAUUGGGGUCUGCAACUCGACCUCAUGAAGUCGGAGUCGCUAGUAAUCGCAGAUCAGCAACGCUGCGGUGAAUACGUUCCCGGGGCU